CCCCCAAUUAACAGUGAUGAAGACAGACUUAGAGUAAUACACCAACCGUGCAAACCUGGCCUCCAAAAAGAAGAAGCAUACAUACCACAUAAAAUCUUAUGUAGCUGCAUGCUAUCUUUGUAUCUGCAGCAAAGUGCAUUCCAUAAUAGAACAAGCAGGCAUAAAAUAUAAGUGGAUGCAAGAUAAGGCCCAGCUUUGGCAUUUAGCCCAUCAGUC
RNAcentral lists this long non-coding RNA (216 nucleotides) under Elaeis guineensis (African oil palm). Its description in RNAcentral is "long non-coding RNA (EGUI_LNC006413)". Lineage: Eukaryota; Viridiplantae; Streptophyta; Magnoliopsida; Arecales; Arecaceae. The record is from RNAcentral.